GAUGAACGCUAGCGGCAGGCCUAACACAUGCAAGUCGAGGGGCAGCAUAAUAAAAGCUUGCUUUAUGGUGGCGACCGGCGCACGGGUGCGUAACGCGUAUGCAACCUACCUUAUACUGGGGUAUAGCCCGAAGAAAUUCGGAUUAAUCCCCCAUAGUAUUAUUAGAUCGCAUGGUUUGAUAAUUAAAGGCUACGGUAUAAGAUGGGCAUGCGUCCCAUUAGCUAGAUGGUGAGGUAACGGCUCACCAUGGCGACGAUGGGUAGGGGCCUGAGAGGGUGGUCCCCCACACUGGUACUGAGACACGGACCAGACUCCUACGGGAGGCAGCAGUGAGGAAUAUUGGUCAAUGGGCGAGAGCCUGACCNGCCAUGCCGCGUGCAGGAAGACGGUCCUAUGGAUUGUAAACUGCUUUUAUACAGGAAGAACACUCCGACGUGUCGGAGCUUGACGGUCUGUAAGAAUAAGGAUCGGAC
Molecule: ribosomal RNA, 473 nt
Filed under: uncultured bacterium
Lineage: Bacteria
Description: bacterial SSU rRNA
Rfam family: Bacterial small subunit ribosomal RNA
Source: RNAcentral